GUGCGGAGGGCGGGAACAGCCCGCCGGGAAGGGCGAGAGGUGUCUCCGGGACAGUUACUUCUCUUCAAGGAGCCCUCAGGACUUGCUGAUUUUUUCCCAGAAGUGGGGCGUUGCGUUGGGAAGGGAGACCCGGCAGCCUCAAGAUUUGGAGGCAGAGCGGCUUGCAGCUGUGGCUCAUUGGCAGCGGGCAGAGCUCACAUCAAUGAUUUGAGCAUUGGAAUACCUUCCCUGCAUGCCCUUCUAUUGCAAAGCCAGGUGCAAGGGCAAGCAGUGGAGAGGCAGGCGUGUGGCCAAUGGACAGAGACAGGACUGCACCUUCCUGCCGUAAGGAUUCAAAUCUAAAAUGAGACUGAAUCUACGUGUCCAACUGAUGAACCAAAGAAUCUGAGCAUGGUGCCAGUGGGGCCUCCAUGGAAGGGAGCGAUUGCAAGCAGUUAUUUGACUAGUGCAGCCAAAGCCUGUGUAUAAUUGAGCAAGAAAGGGUGCCACAAUCCAACAUUAUUCUUAUCCUGCUCCCUUCAAUUUAAUUCCAUAAUCAGCACUUGCAUCACUGAGAAGUUGGAAAUAUUACCCAGGCCUCUCCUUCAGCAUGAUGGUAUCCUGAACAGGUCCCUGCCUGUAAGGAUCUGCUUUCUUCAAAACAAACUUUCACUCUGCCCCGUGGUUAGCUUGGCUUAAGUCAGCAAACUGCCAGCAAAAUUCUAGAAUUUAGAAAUAGCUUAAGCUCAGCCCAUUUCAGCCUUCAAAUCAGUUGGUUUAGUUAUGUGCGAUUCCUUAAAGUACUAUCAUUCAGCAUCCAGCUGGCAUCCAUUUGACUACAGUUGCUGCUGGGCGGGGGCGGGAACCACCCACCCUCCCUCAUUGCUGAGCCUAAUCCCGUAAAUUCAGCAAGAACUAUUGCACGCCAUCUCGUGGCCCUGCACAGCUAUUUCCAGGGAACAAAUGCAGCUCCGAUUGCGACUGGGUUUGUUGGACAGGAUUGAUUUGAAAGAUGGCUGUCAGGGGCUGAGAAACAGCCCCCUAUAUAACCCCAUGAAAGCUCUGAAACAUUCAACAUUAACGCUUCGUCCACACUCCUACCUUGACCCUGCAGCCUGAGCAGCUGUUUCCAGGAGUGGCAGCAGAGCCUCGAGCUGCAAAAUGCACCUCUUCAGCACGUGCUCACGGAGUUUCUCAAGCAGAGCUGUAGGGACGGCCCUGCACUCACAACCACUGAACACCACCACUGCCCCAGAGCAGCCUUGGGCAGAGCAGGAAACUACCUUACUUAUUUUACAGUAUGUCACACACAUGUUAAUGGUUCUUAAUUAUAUGCAAGGCUGGAGAUGUUCAUGGUACAUCUGUCUUCUUGUCUGCUGUCAGUACUUGUUAAAGAACUCCAUGUGUCAAUGUUUUAAAUAAAGCUAAUAUGCCUAUUCAUAACUGUUCAUUAACACCUGAAUAUAUGAAAUUGAAACAAGGUUACAUUGGCUGUCAGUCCCCUGGUGUAUCUGAAGUCCUGAUCCUCCCCUUACUCUCUUUCCUGGGGGAAAAAGUCGUCAUUAAGAGACCCUUGCCAGAAGUGAUUAAGGUACGAUUUCAUUAAAUCUAGUUGAAGGAGUUAAAAAACAGGGACAGAAUGCAAUAAUAUGACUUCAAGGUCCUUGCUUCUAUUUUAAGUGGGAAGUUGUUGACUUCCCAAUGUUUCUGACUUUUUGGUGGGGAGAUUACAGCUUAAAAUCUGCACCACUGAAUCAUCUCCAAAUGUGAAGUCAUGUUAACUUGAGCAGAAUUACUCACGUGCCUUACUUCCACUGCUCUCAAACCUAUGAAAAGGCUGGAUCUAUAGUCAGCAGCAAAAGACCUUACAAUGGGUAACAGAAGUGCAUGACUUCAGACUAAGCAUCUUUCUUUAUCUGCUAAACACAACACCACAACACCUUCAAAAGUUUGCAGCUUGCUGUUGGAAAGCAUAGCAACAUGCCAACUACAGAUGUUACUCCAAAGGACACUGUGCCAUACAGUAAGAAUAAAAAAAAAAACUACUCAAGGAUUUUAGUUCAAGGCAUCUGAUUAUGAUCAGCAGUUGCUCUAGAUUUGGUAUGUGACAAAACUUCUAUUUCUACUGUUCUUGGGUUAGAAAACAAUACUGAUGAGGAGACUGGCUGUGGAAGUAAGGAAGUUACAGGAAAGACCGUUUAACCUGUGAGACUUUAUGAAGCUCAAUACUAACAUCCUUUCUCUGUAUACAGCAAAGAAAAGAGGGAACAUCCUUCUUCUCAUGCCAAGGUUUAAUUCUGAGGUAUGUGACACUGGAUUUACAAAGGUAAACCAAAAGUACAUUCUGAGAAACAGUGAGCCCCCUACUUAACAAGGCAGAGGGAUUUCACACUCCAAGCAGCUGAGAAAAGAAACUGCUCACUGUGUGGAAAAAAACAAAAACCCA
This is a long non-coding RNA of Falco peregrinus (peregrine falcon), 2425 nucleotides long. RefSeq lists it as uncharacterized. NCBI's taxonomy places the organism in Eukaryota, Metazoa, Chordata, Aves, Falconiformes, Falconidae. The record is from RefSeq and is a predicted model, not a curated record. The transcript has 4 exons.